Non-coding RNA from Pelobates cultripes (western spadefoot toad), 91 nucleotides. The record is from the annotation of a GenBank genome assembly. NCBI's taxonomy places the organism in Eukaryota, Metazoa, Chordata, Amphibia, Anura, Pelobatidae.
AUAAUAAACAGACGUUUCGGGUACAACCCUUUUUCAAUGCAGGGACAUGGUGCAUUGAAAAAGGGUUGUACCCGAAACGUCUGUUUAUUAU